GAUGAACGCUGGCGGCGUGCCUAAUACAUGCAAGUCGAGCGAACAGACGAGGAGCUUGCUCCUCUGACGUUAGCGGCGAACGGGUGAGUAACACGUGAAUCACCUACCUAUACGACUGGGAUAACUUGGGGAAACCGGAUCCGAUACCGGAUAAUAUAUUGAACCGCAUGGUUCCAUGGUCAAAGACGGUUUUGCUGUCACUUAUAGGUGGUUCCGGGCCGCAUUAGCUAGUUGGUCAGGUAACGGCUUACCAAGGCAACGAUGCGUAGCCGACCUGAGAGGGUGAUCGGCCACACUGGAACUGAGACACGGUCCAGACUCCUACGGGAGGCAGCAGUAGGGAAUCUUCCGCAAUGGGCGAAAGCCUGACGGAGCAACGCCGCGUGAGUGAUGAAGGUCUUCGGAUUGUAAAACUCUGUUAUCAGGGAAGAACAAAUGUGGAAGAAACUAUGCACGUCUUGACGGUACCUAAUCAGAAAGCAACGGCUAACUACGUG
RNAcentral lists this ribosomal RNA (497 nucleotides) under uncultured bacterium. RNAcentral's name for it is "partial 16S ribosomal RNA". It matches the Rfam family "Bacterial small subunit ribosomal RNA", at positions 28 to 507 of the family's 1533-position model. The record is from RNAcentral.